AUUGAACGCUGGCGGCAUGCUUUACACAUGCAAGUCGAACGGUAACAGGUCUUCGGAUGCUGACGAGUGGCGAACGGGUGAGUAAUACAUCGGAACGUGCCUAGUAGUGGGGGAUAACUACUCGAAAGAGUAGCUAAUACCGCAUGAGAUCUACGGAUGAAAGCAGGGGACCUUCGGGCCUUGUGCUACUAGAGCGGCUGAUGGCAGAUUAGGUAGUUGGUGGGGUAAAGGCUUACCAAGCCUGCGAUCUGUAGCUGGUCUGAGAGGACGACCAGCCACACUGGGACUGAGACACGGCCCAGACUCCUACGGGAGGCAGCAGUGGGGAAUUUUGGACAGUGGGCGAAAGCCUGAUCCAGCAAUGCCGCGUGCAGGAUGAAGGCCCUCGGGUUGUAAACUGCUUUUGUACGGAACGAAAAGCCUGGGGCUAAUAUCCCCGGGUCAUGACGGUACCGUAAGAAUAAGCACCGGCUAACUACGU
This 481-nucleotide ribosomal RNA is filed under the name uncultured bacterium. RNAcentral's name for it is "partial 16S ribosomal RNA". It matches the Rfam family "Bacterial small subunit ribosomal RNA", at positions 30 to 506 of the family's 1533-position model. The record is from RNAcentral.